UAACCUGGUUGAUCCUGCCAGUAGUCAUAUGCUUGUCUAAAAGACUAAGCCAUGCAUGUCUAAGUAUAAACAAAUCUAUACUUGUGAAACUGCGAAUGGCUCAUUAAAUCAGUUGUAAUAUCUUUGAUAGUCUCUUCCUACAUGGAUAACCGUGGGAAACUAGGGCUAAUACAUGCACAAGGCCCCGACUUUUCGGAAGGGGUGUGUUUAUUAGAUCUGAAGCCAACCCGCCUCGGCGGAAUCUGGUGAGUCAUAAUAACCUUACGAAUCGCAUGACCUAGCGUCGGCGAUGAAUCAUUCUAACAUCUGACCUAUCAAAUUUUGAUGGUAGGAUAGAGGCCUACCAUGUUUAUGACGGGUAACGGAGAAUUAGGGUUCGAUUCCGGAGAGGGAGCCUGAGAAACGGCUACCACAUCCAAGGAAGGCAGCAGGCGCGCAAAUUACCCAAUCUCGACACGAGGAGGUAGUGACAAGAAAUAACAAUGCAGGGCUCGAAGAGUCUUGUAAUUGGAAUGAGAACAAUCCAAAACCCUUAACGAGGAACAAUUGGAGGGCAAGUCUGGUGCCAGCAGCCGCGGUAAUUCCAGCUCCAAUAGCGUAUAUUAAUGCUGCUGCGGUUGAAACGCUCGUAGUUGGACUUUGGGGCGUGCGGCAGGGUCGGCCUUUGGGCUGUAUCCUGCCGCGUGUCCUUUUGCCGUGAUCCGCCUCCCAUGGUCUUCGGGCCGUGGAACCGGGGCGAUUUCGGCCGGUUACUUUGAAGAAAUUAGAGUGUUCAAAGCAGGCCAACGCCUUGAAUACAUUAGCAUGGAAUAACAGAAUAGGACUUUGGUCUUGUUGUGUUGGUUUCCGGGACUAGAGUAAUGAUUAAUAGGGAUAGUUGGGGGCAUUCAUAUUUGGCUGUCAGAGGUGAAAUUCUUGGAUUAGCUAAAGAUGAACUACUGCGAAAGCAUUUGCCAAGGAUGUUUUCAUUAAUCAAGAACGAAAGUUAGGGGAUCGAAGACGAUCAGAUACCGUCGUAGUCUUAACCAUAAACUAUGCCGACUAGAGAUUGGAGGCGCUCAUUUAUGACUCCAUCAGCGUCUUCCGAGAAAUCAAAGAUUUUGGGUUCUGGGGGGAGUAUGCACGCAAGGCUGAAACUUAAAGGAAUUGACGGAAGGGCACCACCAGGAUUGGAGCCUGCGGCUUAAUUUGACCCAACACGGGAAAACUUACCAGGUCCAGACAUAGUAAGGAUUGACAGAUUGAGAGCUCUUUCUUGAUUCUAUGCGUGGUGGUGCAUGGCCGUUCUUAGUUGGUGGAUUGAUUUGUCUGCUUAAUUGCGAUAACGAACA
Molecule: ribosomal RNA, 1331 nt
Filed under: uncultured eukaryote
Lineage: Eukaryota
Description: partial small subunit ribosomal RNA
Rfam family: Eukaryotic small subunit ribosomal RNA
Source: RNAcentral